CUAAGAAUAUUCCGCAAUGGACGAAAGUCUGACGGAGCGACGCCGCGUGGAUGAGGAAGGCCGAAAGGUUGUAAAAUCCUUUUGCAGGCGCAGAAGAAGGCGCGGAGGGAAUGCCGCGCCGGUGACAAAGGCCUGUGAAUAAGCCCCGGCUAAUUACGUGCCAGCAGCCGCGGUAACACGUAAGGGGCGAGCGUUGUUCGGAAUUAUUGGGCGUAAAGGGCGCGUAGGCGGCCUGGCAAGUCCGGCGUGAAAUAUCGGGGCUUAACCCCGGGGCUGCGCUGGAAACUGCCUGGCUUGAGUCACGGAGGGGCAGCCGGAAUUCCUGGUGGAGGGGUGAAAUCUGUAGAUAUCAGGAAGAACACCGGUGGCGAAGGCGGGCUGCCAGCCGAUGACUGACGCUGAGGCGCGAAAGUGCGGGGAGCAAACAGGAUUAGAUACCCUGGUAGUCCGCACUGUAAACGAUGUGCACUAGGUGUCGGGGCGAGUCGUCUCGGUCGCCGGAGCGAACGCGAUAAGUGCACCGCCU
RNAcentral lists this ribosomal RNA (526 nucleotides) under uncultured bacterium. RNAcentral describes it as "bacterial SSU rRNA". It matches the Rfam family "Bacterial small subunit ribosomal RNA", at positions 355 to 874 of the family's 1533-position model. The record is from RNAcentral.